RNAcentral lists this ribosomal RNA (497 nucleotides) under uncultured bacterium. Its description in RNAcentral is "partial 16S ribosomal RNA". It matches the Rfam family "Bacterial small subunit ribosomal RNA", at positions 28 to 507 of the family's 1533-position model. The record is from RNAcentral.
GACGAACGCUGGCGGCGUGCCUAAUACAUGCAAGUUGGGCGCUGAAGGUUGGUACUUGUACCAACUGGAUGAGCAGCGAACGGGUGAGUAACGCGUGGGGAAUCUGCCUUUGAGCGGGGGACAACAUUUGGAAACGAAUGCUAAUACCGCAUAAAAACUUUAAACACAAGUUUUAAGUUUGAAAGAUGCAAUUGCAUCACUCAAAGAUGAUCCCGCGUUGUAUUAGCUAGUUGGUGAGGUAAAGGCUCACCAAGGCGAUGAUACAUAGCCGACCCGAGAGGGUGAUCGGCCACAUUGGGACUGAGACACGGCCCAAACUCCUACGGGAGGCAGCAGUAGGGAAUCUUCGGCAAUGGACGAAAGUCUGACCGAGCAACGCCGCGUGAGUGAAGAAGGUUUUCGGAUCGUAAAACUCUGUUGGUAGAGAAGAACGUUGGUGAGAGUGGAAAGCUCAUCAAGUGACGGUAACUACCCAGAAAGGGACGGCUAACUACGUG